ACUGUCCCUAGAGGCAUUGCAGGUGUGACCGCUGUGUCACAUGUGCGUCUGCAGGUAGCAGAGAGGAGAGGCUGUCUAUGCUCAGCGUCCUGACCUGGGAAUAUCUGAACAAUUAGUAAUCUAACACU
This is a small nucleolar RNA of Arvicanthis niloticus (Nile rat), 128 nucleotides long. RefSeq annotates it as small nucleolar RNA SNORA17. NCBI's taxonomy places the organism in Eukaryota, Metazoa, Chordata, Mammalia, Rodentia, Muridae. The record is from RefSeq and is a predicted model, not a curated record.